This 252-nucleotide ribosomal RNA is filed under the name uncultured bacterium. RNAcentral describes it as "partial 16S ribosomal RNA". It matches the Rfam family "Bacterial small subunit ribosomal RNA", at positions 524 to 776 of the family's 1533-position model. The record is from RNAcentral.
UACGUAGGGGGCUAGCGUUGUCCGGAAUCAUUGGGCGUAAAGAGCGUGUAGGCGGCCAGGUAGGUCUGCUGUGAAACUCGAGGCUCAACCUCGAGACGUCGGCGGAAACCAUCUGGCUAGAGUCCGGAAGAGGAGAGUGGAAUUCCUGGUGUAGCGGUGAAAUGCGCAGAUAUCAGGAAGAACACCCGUGGCGAAGGCGGCUCUCUGGGACGGUACUGACGCUGAGACGCGAAAGCGUGGGGAGCGAACAGG